This 84-nucleotide transfer RNA is filed under the name Felis catus (domestic cat). It matches the Rfam family "tRNA". From Rfam's summary of the family: Transfer RNA (tRNA) molecules are approximately 80 nucleotides in length. Lineage: Eukaryota; Metazoa; Chordata; Mammalia; Carnivora; Felidae. The record is from Rfam by way of RNAcentral.
GCCUGGGUGGCUCAGUCGGUUAAACAUCUGACUUUGGCUCAGGUCAUGAUCUCGUGGUCGUGGGUUCAAGCCCCACAUCGGGCU